CCUACGGGCGGCAGCAGUGAGGAAUAUUGGUCAAUGGGCGGAAGCCUGAACCAGCCAAGUAGCGUGCAGGAUGACGGCCCUACGGGUUGUAAACUGCUUUUAUACGGGAAUAACGCGCCUUACGUGUAGGGCUUUGCAUGUACCGGAUGAAUAAGGACCGGCUAAUUCCGUGCCAGAAGCCGCGUUAAUACGGAAGGUCAGGGCGUUAUCCGGCUUUAUUGGGGUGAAAGGGGGCGUAGGCCGCAUGUCAAGCGUGCUGUGAAAUGUCCGGGCUCAACCCGGGCCUUGCAGCGCGAACUGGCGUGCUUGAGUCCGCGGAAGGCAGGCGGAAUUCGUCGUGUAGCGGUGAAAUGCUUAGAUAUGACGAAGAACCCCGAUUGCGAAGGCAGCUUGCUGCAGCGGAACUGACGCUGAUGCUCGAAAGCGCGGGUAUCGAACAGGAUUAGAUACCCCUGUAGUC
Molecule: ribosomal RNA, 460 nt
Filed under: uncultured bacterium
Lineage: Bacteria
Description: partial 16S ribosomal RNA
Rfam family: Bacterial small subunit ribosomal RNA
Source: RNAcentral